AUUGAACGCUGGCGGCAUGCCUUACACAUGCAAGUCGAACGGUAACAGGUUAAGCUGACGAGUGGCGAACGGGUGAGUAAUGUAUCGGAACGUGCCCAGUCGUGGGGGAUAACUGCUCGAAAGAGCAGCUAAUACCGCAUACGACCUGAGGGUGAAAGCGGGGGAUCGCAAGACCUCGCGCGAUUGGAGCGGCCGAUAUCAGAUUAGGUAGUUGGUGGGGUAAAGGCCUACCAAGCCGACGAUCUGUAGCUGGUCUGAGAGGACGACCAGCCACACUGGGACUGAGACACGGCCCAGACUCCUACGGGAGGCAGCAGUGGGGAAUUUUGGACAAUGGACGCAAGUCUGAUCCAGCCAUGCCGCGUGCGGGAAGAAGGCCUUCGGGUUGUAAACCGCUUUUGUCAGGGAAGAAGCGAUCUGGGUUAAUACCUCGGGGUAAUGACGGUACCUGAAGAAUAAGCACCGGCUAACUACGUGCCAGCCGCCGCCGUAA
This 493-nucleotide ribosomal RNA is filed under the name uncultured bacterium. Its description in RNAcentral is "partial 16S ribosomal RNA". It matches the Rfam family "Bacterial small subunit ribosomal RNA", at positions 30 to 523 of the family's 1533-position model. The record is from RNAcentral.